This 961-nucleotide long non-coding RNA is filed under the name Homo sapiens (human). RNAcentral describes it as "HSALNT0335423". Lineage: Eukaryota; Metazoa; Chordata; Mammalia; Primates; Hominidae. The record is from RNAcentral.
GCUGCGCACUUCGGUCUUUUACGUCGGCCUUCGCGAGCGUCUGGGCGGGUGGUAGGUGAGUGGGUAUUGCGGGCUAGUAUCCGAGCAAAAGAUGGUGGCGCAGGCCGAGUUAAGAGCUUUAAUCCUGUGAAGACAUCUUAGUGAAGAGUUUAGAGUGCUGAGAGUUGAAAGCUUGCACGUGGGAAACGUGCGGCCGGACUGCCACAUGUACUGAGGUUGAGUCGUGACGGCCACAGGCUCCGAGUUUUGGCGUGAGGAACCGCUGAUCGGCCACGGGCGCCGAACUUGCUGGCCUCCGGCAUGUGCCUGAGCGGCGGCGGAAAAACCACCUUAAUUGGGGCGGAGGGUUAGUUUUAACAGCAAAGGGCCUUUACUAAAAUGGCGAAGGCCUUCCGUCGGCGUUGUUUUAAAAUGGGAAGCCUCGACCCUGUAUUGAAACUGAGCUGUUCGAAGGCGGCGUUGUGUGCAAUUCGGAUUAAUGAAGGGGAAGGGUUUUGUGUGGAAAAACGCCUUGGAGUGUGACAUUUCUGCGAGAAUGCUUAAAUACCGAUUUCCCGCAGGAACAAUGGCGCUGUCUUCAGUGGCACAGUGGAGCAGCUCUGAAGAUGCAAAGAUACACGAAAAAACUUCCAGAACAUCUGGGAGAAUAUUUAAUGGAAAAUCGCUUGGUUAAAACCUGACACUUUUAACAGUGAACAGCGUUCUGAGUGUGGACGAGUAGCCAGUGAAGAUAAUGAAUGUCGAAUGUGACUGACUAGCAGCUUCAUUUUGAAGUAGUGAGGGUCGCUGUCUGCCCAUUGAUAGAGGCCAGAUUGUCUUGGAAGUUCCAAAGUUGCAACGAUUUCUGGCUAGUGCCACGAGGUUUACUUGACUGUUGUGUGAAAAGCUGAUAAGAAAACCAUCCAGAAAAAAGCUCUUCGUUUUACAAACAUGAAAAUAAAACAUGUAAUUUUGGAUUAUG